CCUACGGGAGGCAGCAGUGGGGAAUAUUGGACAAUGGGGGGAACCCUGAUCCAGCCAUGCCGCGUGUGUGAAGAAGGCCCUCGGGUUGUAAAACACUUUCAGUGAGGAAGAACGCCUGGUGGUUAAUACCCAUCAGGAAAGACAUCACUCACAGAAGAAGCACCGGCUAACUCCGUGCCAGCAGCCGCGGUAAUACGGAGGGUGCGAGCGUUAAUCGGAAUUACUGGGCGUAAAGCGCGCGUAGGUGGCUUGAUAAGCCGGUUGUGAAAGCCCCGGGCUCAACCUGGGAACGGCAUCCGGAACUGUCAAGCUAGAGUGCAGGAGAGGAAGGUAGAAUUCCCGGUGUAGCGGUGAAAUGCGUAGAGAUCGGGAGGAAUACCAGUGGCGAAGGCGGCCUUCUGGACUGACACUGACACUGAGGUGCGAAAGCGUGGGUAGCAAACAGGAUUAGAUACCCCUGUAGUC
This 465-nucleotide ribosomal RNA is filed under the name Vreelandella stevensii. RNAcentral's name for it is "partial 16S ribosomal RNA". It matches the Rfam family "Bacterial small subunit ribosomal RNA", at positions 338 to 795 of the family's 1533-position model. The record is from RNAcentral. Lineage: Bacteria; Pseudomonadati; Pseudomonadota; Gammaproteobacteria; Oceanospirillales; Halomonadaceae.